Molecule: ribosomal RNA, 253 nt
Filed under: uncultured bacterium
Lineage: Bacteria
Description: partial 16S ribosomal RNA
Rfam family: Bacterial small subunit ribosomal RNA
Source: RNAcentral
GGCAGAGGGGGCAAGCGUUGCUCGGAAUCACUGGGCGUAAAGGGCGCGUAGGCGGGAUGGCAAGUCGGUCGUGAAAUCCUUCGGCUCAACCGAAGAACGUCGGCCGAUACUGCCGUUCUUGAGGGAUGCAGAGGAGAUUGGAAUUCCCGGUGUAGCGGUGAAAUGUGUAGAGAUCGGGAGGAACACCGGUGGCGAAGGCGGGUCUCUGGGCAUCUCCUGACGCUGAGGCGCGAAAGCGUGGGGAGCGAACAGG